This 793-nucleotide ribosomal RNA is filed under the name uncultured archaeon. Its description in RNAcentral is "bacterial SSU rRNA". It matches the Rfam family "Archaeal small subunit ribosomal RNA", at positions 85 to 879 of the family's 1478-position model. The record is from RNAcentral.
ACUGCUCAGUAACACGUGGACAACCUACCCUUAGGACAGGUAUAAACCCGGGAAACUGGGUAUAAUCCCUGAUAGUCCUCGACUGCUGGAAUGCAUCGAGGCCGAAAGCUCCGGCGCCUAAGGAUGGGUCUGCGGCCUAUCAGGUAGUAGUGGGUCUAAAGUACCUACUAGCCUACGACGGGUACGGGUUGUGAGAGCAAGAGCCCGGAGAUGGAUUCUGAGACACGAAUCCAGGCCCUACGGGGUGCAGCAGGCGCGAAAACUUUACAAUGCCGGCAACGGCGAUAAGGGGACCUCGAGUGCCAGGUUACAAAUCUGGCUGCCGUGAUGCCUAAAAAGCAUUGCAUAGCAAGGGCCGGGCAAGACCGGUGCCAGCCGCCGCGGUAACACCGGCGGCUCGAGUGGUAACCGUUAUUAUUGGGUCUAAAGGGUCUGUAGCCGGCCGGAUAAGUCUCUUGGGAAAUCCAGCAGCUCAACUGUUGGGCUUCCAGGAGAUACUGUCUGGCUCGAGGCCGGGAGAGGUGAGAGGUACUUCAGGGGUAGGGGUGAAAUCUUGUAAUCCUUGAAGGACCACCAGUGGCGAAGGCGUCUCACCAGAACGGACCUGACGGCAAGGGACGAAAGCUAGGGGCACGAACCGGAUUAGAUACCCGGGUAGUCCUAGCCGUAAACGAUACUCGCUAGGUGUCGGCCACGGUGCGACCGUGGUCGGUGCCGUAGGGAAGCCGUGAAGCGAGCCACCUGGGAAGUACGGCCGCAAGGCUGAAACUUAAAGGAAUUGGCGGGGGAGCAC